RNAcentral lists this small RNA (126 nucleotides) under Marmota monax (woodchuck). Lineage: Eukaryota; Metazoa; Chordata; Mammalia; Rodentia; Sciuridae. The record is from RNAcentral.
GCAGGGCGUGGUGGCACACGCCUGUAAUCCCAGCAGCUCUGGAGGUUGAGGCAGGAGUAUCUUGAGUUCAAAACCACCCUCGGCAAAAGUGGAAGCACUAAGCAACUCAGUGAGACCCUGCCUCUA